ACGAACGCUGGCGGCAUGCCUAACCCAUGCAAGUCGAACGCGACCUUCGGGUCUAGUGGCGCACGGGUGCGUAACGCGUGGGAACCUGCCCUUAGGUUCGGAAUAACUCCCCGAAAGGGGUGCUAAUACCGGAUAAUGUCUUCGGACCAAAGAUUUAUCGCCUUUGGAUGGGCCCGCGUUGGAUUAGCUAGUUGGUAGGGUAAAAGCCUACCAAGGCGACGAUCCAUAGCUGGUCUGAGAGGAUGAUCAGCCACACUGGGACUGAGACACGGCCCAGACUCCUACGGGAGGCAGCAGUGGGGAAUAUUGGACAAUGGGCGAAAGCCUGAUCCAGCAAUGCCGCGUGAGUGAUGAAGGCCUUAGGGUUGUAAAGCUCUUUUACCCGGGAUGAUAAUGACAGUACCGGGAGAAUAAGCUCCGGCUAACUCCGUG
This 432-nucleotide ribosomal RNA is filed under the name uncultured bacterium. RNAcentral describes it as "partial 16S ribosomal RNA". It matches the Rfam family "Bacterial small subunit ribosomal RNA", at positions 29 to 507 of the family's 1533-position model. The record is from RNAcentral.